GCAGCGGCGGACGGGUGAGUAACACGUGGAUAACCUACCUAUAAGACUGGGAUAACUUCGGGAAACCGGAGCUAAUACCGGAUAAUAUAUUGAACCGCAUGGUUCAAUAGUGAAAGACGGUUUUGCUGUCACUUAUAGAUGGAUCCGCGCCGCAUUAGCUAGUUGGUAAGGUAACGGCUUACCAAGGCAACGAUGCGUAGCCGACCUGAGAGGGUGAUCGGCCACACUGGAACUGAGACACGGUCCAGACUCCUACGGGAGGCAGCAGUAGGGAAUCUUCCGCAAUGGGCGAAAGCCUGACGGAGCAACGCCGCGUGAGUGAUGAAGGUCUUCGGAUCGUAAAACUCUGUUAUUAGGGAAGAACAAAUGUGUAAGUAACUAUGCACGUCUUGACGGUACCUAAUCAGAAAGCCACGGCUAACUACGUGCCAGCAGCCGCGGUAAUACGUAGGUGGCAAGCGUUAUCCGGAAUUAUUGGGCGUAAAGCGCGCGUAGGCGGUUUUUUAAGUCUGAUGUGAAAGCCCACGGCUCAACCGUGGAGGGUCAUUGGAAACUGGAAAACUUGAGUGCAGAAAAGGAAAGUGGAAUUCCAUGUGUAGCGGUGAAAUGCGCAGAGAUAUGGAGGAACACCAGUGGCGAAAGCGACUUUCUGGUCUGUAACUGACGCUGAUGUGCGAAAGCGUG
This 684-nucleotide ribosomal RNA is filed under the name Staphylococcus sp. RNAcentral describes it as "bacterial SSU rRNA". It matches the Rfam family "Bacterial small subunit ribosomal RNA", at positions 92 to 763 of the family's 1533-position model. The record is from RNAcentral. Lineage: Bacteria; Bacillati; Bacillota; Bacilli; Caryophanales; Staphylococcaceae.